UCUCGUUCCACCGCCGCGGC
This 20-nucleotide unclassified non-coding RNA is filed under the name Chlamydomonas reinhardtii. RNAcentral describes it as "small RNA Cre_2773". The record is from RNAcentral. Lineage: Eukaryota; Viridiplantae; Chlorophyta; Chlorophyceae; Chlamydomonadales; Chlamydomonadaceae.